GACGAACGCUGGCGGCGUGCUUAACACAUGCAAGUCGAACGAGACGAUUGAAAGCUUGCUUUUGAAAGUCGAGUGGCAAACGGGUGAGUAACGCGUAAACAACCUGCCUUUGAGAUGGGGACAACAGUUCGAAAGGACUGCUAAUACCGAAUGUUGUAUAUUUUCCACAUGGAAGAUAUAUUAAAGAUGGCCUCUAUUUAUAAGCUAUCGCUGAAAGAUGGGUUGGCGUCUGAUUAGCUGGUUGGUGGGGUAACGGCCUACCAAGGCGACGAUCAGUAGCCGGGCUGAGAGGAUUGACGGCCACAAUGGGACUGAGACACGGCCCAGACUCCUACGGGAGGCAGCAGUGGGGAAUCUUCCACAAUGGACGAAAGUCUGAUGGAGCAACGCCGCGUGAGUGAAGAAGGGUUUCGGCUCGUAAAGCUCUGUUGUCGGGGACGAAUGUGCACGAGGGGAAUAAAGUACUGCAAUGACGGUACCUGACGAGGAAGCCACGGCUAACUACGUGCCAGCCGCCGCCGUAA
This 524-nucleotide ribosomal RNA is filed under the name uncultured bacterium. RNAcentral's name for it is "partial 16S ribosomal RNA". It matches the Rfam family "Bacterial small subunit ribosomal RNA", at positions 28 to 523 of the family's 1533-position model. The record is from RNAcentral.